GGUGAACGCUGGCGGCGUGCCUAAUACAUGCAAGUCGAGCGAACGGACGAGAAGCUUGCUUCUCUGAUGUUAGCGGCGGACGGGUGAGUAACACGUGGAUAACCUACCUAUAAGACUGGGAUAACUUCGGGAAACCGGAGCUAAUACCGGAUGAUAUUUUGAACCGCAUGGUUCAAAAGUGAAAGACGGUCUUGCUGUCACUUAUAGAUGGAUCCGCGCUGCAUUAGCUAGUUGGUAAGGUAACGGCUUACCAAGGCAACGAUGCAUAGCCGACCUGAGAGGGUGAUCGGCCACACUGGAACUGAGACACGGUCCAGACUCCUACGGGAGGCAGCAGUAGGGAAUCUUCCGCAAAGGGCGAAAGCCUGACGGAGCAACGCCGCGUGAGUGAUGAAGGUCUUCGGAUCGUAAAACUCUGUUAUUAGGGAAGAACAUAUGUGUAAGUAACUGUGCACAUCUUGACGGUACCUAAUCAGAAAGCCACGGCUAACUACGUG
This 497-nucleotide ribosomal RNA is filed under the name uncultured bacterium. RNAcentral's name for it is "partial 16S ribosomal RNA". It matches the Rfam family "Bacterial small subunit ribosomal RNA", at positions 28 to 507 of the family's 1533-position model. The record is from RNAcentral.